GCGGUUGUGGCGAAGAGGUUAACGCUCCGGAUUGUGGCUCCGGCACUCGUGGGUUCAAGUCCCAUCAGCCGCC
Non-coding RNA from Spiroplasma poulsonii, 73 nucleotides. The record is from Rfam. NCBI's taxonomy places the organism in Bacteria, Bacillati, Mycoplasmatota, Mollicutes, Entomoplasmatales, Spiroplasmataceae.